RNAcentral lists this ribosomal RNA (465 nucleotides) under uncultured bacterium. RNAcentral describes it as "partial 16S ribosomal RNA". It matches the Rfam family "Bacterial small subunit ribosomal RNA", at positions 338 to 795 of the family's 1533-position model. The record is from RNAcentral.
CCUACGGGAGGCAGCAGUGGGGAAUAUUGCGCAAUGGGCGAAAGCCUGACGCAGCGACGCCGCGUGAGGGAUGAAGGUCUUCGGAUCGUAAACCUCUGUCAGCAGGGAAGAACGGUCACUGUGCUAAUCAGCAGUGAAUUGACGGUACCUGCAAAGGAAGCACCGGCUAACUCCGUGCCAGCAGCCGCGGUAAUACGGAGGGUGCGAGCGUUAAUCGGAAUUACUGGGCGUAAAGCGCUCGUAGGCGGUAUGUCAAGUCAAGGGUGAAAUCCCCGCGCUCAACGUGGGAAUUGCCUUUGAAACUGGCGAGCUGGAGUGUGUGAGAGGAAAGUGGAAUUCCAGGUGUAGGAGUGAAAUCCGUAGAUAUCGGGAAGAACAUCAGUGGCGAAGGCGACUAUCUGGCUCAUAACUGACGCUGAGGAGCGAAAGCGUGGGUAUCAAACAGGAUUAGAUACCCGAGUAGUC